This 270-nucleotide ribosomal RNA is filed under the name Triticum aestivum (bread wheat). Its description in RNAcentral is "partial small subunit ribosomal RNA". The record is from RNAcentral. Lineage: Eukaryota; Viridiplantae; Streptophyta; Magnoliopsida; Poales; Poaceae.
AUGAAGGGCACCAAGCUCGCGGCGAUCCUGAUCCUCCAGGCCGUCCUGGUCAUGGGACUCCUCUCACACGUGAACGCCGAUUUUUUCCCCAAGUGCUGCAACAACUGCAGGUCCUUCUCGGGGGUCGACGUCUGCGACGACGCCCACCCCAAGUGUCCCCAGGGCUGCUCGGCGUGCCGCGUGGUGUCGACGAGCCCCGAAAUGUGGCGCUGCGCGGAUAUGAAAUCCACCGUCGACGGCACCUGCGGUGGACCCUGCAAGAAGUACUGA